Molecule: ribosomal RNA, 350 nt
Filed under: uncultured bacterium
Lineage: Bacteria
Description: bacterial SSU rRNA
Rfam family: Bacterial small subunit ribosomal RNA
Source: RNAcentral
GAUGAACGCUGGCGGCGUGCUUAACACAUGCAAGUCGAACGAACCUUCGGGUUAGUGGCGGACGGGUGAGUAACGCGUGAGAAUCUGCCCUCAGGAGGGGGACAACAGCUGGAAACGGCUGCUAAUACCCCAUAUGCCGAGAGGUGAAAUGAAUUUCGCCUGAGGAUGAGCUCGCGUCUGAUUAGCUAGUUGGUGUAGGUAAUGGCUCACCAAGGCAUCGAUCAGUAGCUGGUCUGAGAGGAUGAUCAGCCACACUGGGACUGAGACACGGCCCAGACUCCUACGGGAGGCAGCAGUGGGGAAUUUUCCGCAAUGGGCGAAAGCCUGACGGAGCAACGCCGCGUGAGGGA